AGACCUGGCACAAGAGACAUAGUGAGUGAGCAACUUUUAAAGAGAUCUGAGAGACAGAGGGAUAUUGGAAGAGAUGGAGAAACAGGGACACAUGAGAGAAGCAAACAGGAAGAGGAUGUUUAGGGAAUGAAGGGGGUCAGAAUGGGAAAUGGCAAAGUUGUUUGGAAAGAAAACAAUGGUGCACCAUUUGGAAAGGUAGGAUGGCUAAGGCACUAGCCUAGGAGUUGGGGUGCCUAGGCUCAUUUCACAUUUCUGCCACAGAUUUCCUGUAUAAUCUUAGUCAAGUCACUAGCUUGCUUGUGCCUCAGCUUUGCAUCUGUAAAAUGGGAUAUAUCAGUUCUCUAGCUUACAGGCUAUUGUGAAGAUCCACGCAUUGACUGAGGCACAUGCCAGAACUACAGUAAUGGCUCGAGCAGGGAGCCACGCCAGAGGGGCUAAAUUACACACCAGCUUGUGUGCGUGUGUCCAGACACGGUACAUACGGGUCUCACUGCAACGGGGAAACUGAGGCACCAAGGGCAAGCAAGCUGCCGUGUGGCACUGAGAUCAGAAGCUACGUACCCCGGCCUCCCCCGGCCCACGCUCUAACCACCACACCACGCUGCCGCCAGCCUCCAUCAAGGGGCGAGGGAAGAAAACGGGUCGAUGCCCCUUUAAGGACUCGAAACCCCAAUGAACAUUCCAGUGGCUAUGUCAUCGUUCCUGGAAACGGAUGGCGUCAUCCCGUCCCGGCCGCCCUUGGCGGGUGACUGAGCAGCUCGAAUCUGAAACAAAGGAGUAAAAAUAGCACCGCUGGGCGGGGCACGCCACGGCCGCUCGGCUCCGAGCCACGCCGGAGUACGGUGGCUGGCGAGGGCUAUUCAGCUCCAGUCUUCGCAGAGGGGGGCGAGGGGGCACCUGGGUGACGACUUACAGUGGACUUCUUAAUCAGUUUGGUUCAAGAUUUCACAUUCCUGAUGUCAAUGUUGCCUCCCUCAGGCACUGGCCUAGGUUUCUGUCCAAGAGAGUGUGAGAUGUCCCGCACUUCUCUUAGAAGAUGAGUCCAUUUCCUGAGAUCUCACUGGCACAUUUUUCCUGUGGUUGCAUUUCAAUGAUGGAUGAAGUAAUCCCUGAAGAUAGUUUGUUAGUAAACUGCUUUUGGGUGAAAGUUGCUACAUACAUGUGAUAAAACAUUGCCUCCCUUUCUCACUCAUUUCUAAUCUUCUACUGACGAGUGAUACAUUAAUGCUACUUGUUUCUUCAAAGAUCUCAUAUCAAAAAGGAACCAAUUUGAUGGUGCCAGAGAGCAGCAGAGAAUGGAGGUCACUCCAUGAUGUGUUAUAGAGAUGAAGAAGUCCCACCCAAAGUCUUUGAUGCACCUUCUGUGUCCUGUCCUGGCAGCAGUCAGUUGGCUAGCAGCCAUCAGUUCUUUUUUGCACUGCCUGCUGUUUACAGAAGCACCUGUCCAACUAUGAUACCAAGAUACUUGCAAUCCACAUAUCAAGUAUUCUGCCUGAAUCCUUCCCUGAAUAAAUCUCACUUGUCAUGUAUUUGUGAUUCAACUGGAAUUUGAAAUUGUUAGAACACUAUCAUUUAUGUAGCUAGCCUUUCUGUAAAACAUUUGCAGUGUACUGUAAAUGAAG
This is a non-coding RNA of Pelodiscus sinensis (Chinese soft-shelled turtle), 1622 nucleotides long. The record is from RefSeq and is a predicted model, not a curated record. Lineage: Eukaryota; Metazoa; Chordata; Testudines; Trionychidae.